This is a long non-coding RNA of Equus asinus (donkey), 2284 nucleotides long. The record is from Ensembl. NCBI's taxonomy places the organism in Eukaryota, Metazoa, Chordata, Mammalia, Perissodactyla, Equidae.
GCUCACUAGACACGGCCUUAUUCCCAUGGCAGCAGGUCCCAUCAGAGAGCUGGGGCUCGUCCCCUUACCCUGGCAGGUUUGCCCACUCCCAGGCAGCCACCCUGGGUAGCUGGGACACUUUAGGGGAUUCUGUAUCUGGGCUAGAGGACCAAGAAUAUGGAAGCUAUUCUCCUACCAGUUGGGGAGGCAAGUUGGCCAAGUUUGCCUCGUGGGAUUCUCUGACCUGGGUCGUAAUGCUGCAGCCCACCCCAGUGGCCCCCCUGGUGGCAGCUCAGUGAGUCUCAGAGGGGUCAGCUUUUUGCUAACCUCCUCCUAAGAAUAAGGGCUACCCUAGACCUGGCCUAAUAAACCUAAAACCAAGACACGAAAGGUUCGAGGAGAAUUGCCAGAAAUGAAUUGCCGCCAGAACAAAACUCAGCAUUCUUUAAAGGAAGAUGGUAUUACCCAAAGUCCAGCAUAUUACUUAGUCCUUCAAGGAAGGGGAAAACAUGCCCCAUAAUCAAGAAGAAGUCAGUGGAAACACAUCCGGAGAAGAUGCAGAUGUUUACGUUAGUGUGCAAGGACUUUAAAGCAGUUACUAUAAACGUGAUUAAGGACUUAAAGGAAAAUAUGGUGGUCUUAAUGGGGCAUCUUAGCAGAGUAAUCGAAACUGUAAAAAAGAACCAAAUAUAUUGAAAAAUCCAUUGGAUGAGGUUAACAGAAGAUUGAAGGAGAAGGCUGGGAGAAGAAAAGGCCAUGAGCUUAAGGACAGGUCCAGAGAUGUUCUCAUCCGAAAAUCAGAAAGAAAAAUAUCGAAUAGAAAUUAACAGUGCCUCAUUGAUCUGUGGGACAACAUCAAGCAGUCUAACAUAUGUGUCUGGAGUUCCAGAAGGAGAGAAGAAAAAGAAUGGGAAAGAAAAAAUAUUUGAAGAGAUGCUGGUAAAAAAUAAUCCUGAAAUUUGAUGAGAAACCUUCACUUACAGAUUCAAGAAGCUUGGCAAACUACAAACAGGAUGAGCACAAAGAAAGUCACACCUAGACUAGGCACGUCAUAGUCACAGUGCUGAAAACCAGAGGUAAAGGAAAUAUUUUGACAGCAGGUGGAGAAAAAAGGCACUUUACAUUAGGGAAACAAUGACGUGAGAAAAUGGAGGCUAGAAGACCAUGGAAUCGCACCGUUAAAGUGCUGAUAAAGAAGAGAUUCAGUCUAGAAUUCUAUAACCAAUGAAAAUAUCUUCCAAAAUGAGGGGGAAAAAAGGCAUUUUAAGAAAAAUAAAAGAUGAGAGAAUUUGUUGCCAGCAGGCCAGCACUAUGAGAAAUGCUAAAGGAAGUUAUUCAGGUUGGAAGGAAAUUUGGAGACUUAAAUUUGUCAGAAAGAAUGAAGAGCCACAGAAAUGAUAGAUGUCUGGGUAAAUAUAAAAGAAUGGCUUUUUCUUUCUUGUAAUUUCCAUAAAAAACAAAUAUCUGUUUACAGAAAAAGUAAUAUUUUUGUAAGAUACAGUUUAUGAUCUAUGUAGGAAUAAAGUAUAUGAUAAUAGCACAAAAAAUGGGGGAGUAAAUAAAAUUAUAUUGUUGUGAGGUUCUUAUCCUUGUGAAAUGUGAAGAAGCCCCAUUGGACUGUGAUAAAUUAGUGAUGCGUAUUAUAAUUUCUAGGGCAACCAUUAACAAAUAAUAAAAAGAGAUAUAAUCAAAAAGCAAAGAGAAGAAAUAAAAUGUAAAAUUAAUUAUACUUAAUAUAAUAUAUUGAAUAUUGAAUUAUAAUAUGUAAAUAUAAUAUUAAUUUUAUUCAGUUCCUCAAAAGAAGGCAGGAAAAGAACUGAGGAAGAAAAGAACAUGUGGGACAAAUAGGAAACAAAUAGCAAGAUGACAGGCUUUGUUAUGGGUUGAAUUAUCCCCCCAACUCAUAUGUUGAAAUCCUAACCCCCAGCACCUCAGAAUGUGACAGUAUUUGGAGAUAGUCUUUACAGAGGUAUUACGUUAAGAUGAGGUCAUGAGGGUGGACCCUAAUCCAACAUGACUGGUGUCCUUGUAAGAAGAAGAAAUUUGGGGGCGGGCCUGUCGCCGAGUGGUUAAGUUCACUCUGCUUUGGUGGCCCAGGGUUUCGCCAGUUCGGAUCCUGAGCACGGACGUGGCACCACUCAUCAAGCCAUGCUAAGGUGGCGUCCUAUAUGCCACAACUAGAAGGACCCACAGCUAAAAAAAAUAUACAACUAUGUACUAGGGAACUUUGGGGAGAAAAAGGAAAAAUAAAAUCUUUAAAAAAAAAAAGAGGAGAAGUUUGUAUAUAGACACGCACAGAAGGGAA